AUCAAUAUAAAACCUUGUGUGCUGAAGCAGAAAAAUUACGUGGACACUGAAAAUAACACCUCUAUGCUUCUAUUUGAAAUCCUCUGGCUCUAAGAUGGAGGAGCUUCUGAAAUUGAGUAUGUUGGCAGACAUGCUGAAUGAAUACACAUUCAAGAGCUCAUAGCAUGAACCCAUAUAGUCAACCAAUCUAAGAAAGUUCAAAUUGCUGAAACUGGAGAAUUCUGGGGGAUGAAAUUGCUGACAGCCCAUCCUUCCUACAGGGAGUUACUUUCUACUAAUGUCCCAUUGAGUCCCACUGUGUCACUGAUAAAAUUACUGCAUCCCAUUGGAAGUUGCUCCAGCCAGGGGGAAGAGCCAAACCUUUCUUACCAAGAUAAGAACUGAGAUUUUGGGACAUGAAGGGAGCCCUUUUUCCAUCCGGACUUCAAAGACAAACCGGACUUCUCCACAUCAUCACUGGACCUUCGGAGGGAAACUCCACCCUCCUACAGGAGCACUGCUUCAACAGAAUCACAUCUGUCUCUGCAGAA
Catharus ustulatus (Swainson's thrush) is the source of this 530-nucleotide long non-coding RNA. RefSeq lists it as uncharacterized. The record is from RefSeq and is a predicted model, not a curated record. The transcript has 3 exons. NCBI's taxonomy places the organism in Eukaryota, Metazoa, Chordata, Aves, Passeriformes, Turdidae.